Molecule: long non-coding RNA, 1480 nt
Organism: Oncorhynchus nerka (sockeye salmon)
Lineage: Eukaryota; Metazoa; Chordata; Actinopteri; Salmoniformes; Salmonidae
Exons: 5
Source: RefSeq, a predicted model, not a curated record
AUUAAGUUCAGGCCAAGCGCUCACCAUUCUGCAGAAUAAGGACCAGAACUUUACAGAGGUAAACUGUGUCAGUUCUUUUACUAUUACAGCAGUUCAUCGUGGCCCUGUUGUUCGCCUCCUUCACCAAAACUCUGUCAGGGACCUACAUGAACAGUGCCAUCACUCAGAGAGACACUUUUUCCCUGUCCAGCUCUCUCAUCGGACUCAUAGACGGCAGCUUUGAGAUGGAUAUCAACAAUAACAUUGAGUUGCUUGAGAAUUCAUGUAGUAAAAACCAGAUACAGACUACAGUAUGAUCCAUUUUUUUGUGGUUCAAUCAGAGUCUGCUCUCAAUUACUGUCCAGUGUUAUAGUUGUUCCUAUUAAUUGAUUGACUGGCGUUUGUCCAUGACUCUACUGUCAAACCCCUAACAUUGUUUUAUUUGAUGCUGUGCUGUUGCAGCCUAGUUUCCAAACUGAUAUGCCAUUUUUAGUUUAAAAAAUAACAGUGUUUAUAAUUUGCUCUUCCUGACUACUGCAGUGUUGUGGUUUCUUGCAGGUAACCUGCUGUUCCUGGCUGUGGUCAGCCAUUUUGGGGCGAAGCUGCACCGGCUCAGGUUCAAUGCUGUGGGCUGUUUCCUCAUGGCUGUAGGAUCCUUCCUCACACGCCUGCCACACUUCUUCAUGGGACGGUUGGACCCAGGUGCAGAGAAGAGACCAGAAGAUGAAGCAGUGGUUCCAACCAGUGUCUCCACCCCUCAAGGGCCCACUUAACUGCCAAAAGCUCCCAGUUUCCUACAUCGUAGUUGCCUUCCGCUGGCGAGGCCCGCUUGGAGAGAAAGGUGCAUGGGUGCAGUUUCUUGUCCUCCUCGUUCCGCUGUGAAAGUACCGCACCAGCUCCGGUGUCCGAGGCGUCCACCUCUACCACAAAGGGGCGAGUAGGAUCAGGAUGAACGUGGAUGGGUCCGGAGGUGAAACGUCCCUUGAGCUCUAUGAAUGCCCUGUCAGUCUCGGGAUUCCUGCAAAAACCUGCUUGCGUGAGGUGGGACAGGGCUGUAUGUGUUCCGGAGGUUUUUUUGGAGAAGAUCAGGAUGUCGUCGAGGUGAACAAAGACGAACCGGUUCAACAUAUCCCUAAGAGUGUCAUUGAUCAAUGCCUGAAAGACGGCCGAUUUUAAGCGUUGCGGAGGUCCAGUUUGGUGAAGAAUUGGUCUCCUAGGGCCAACUCCAAGACGGCGGACAUCGGGUUUGUUGAACAUGAGUGGAAAUGAAACUCCAGCACACUGGUAGCACUAAAGACGUGUGAGUAUAACUAUUCCUGGUGAGUUGGGUGUGGUGGGGAUAUUCCUGGGAGGUCUACUGAUGAAGAGGUAUAAGCUUGGCGUUGUGUCUGGAGCCCAGAAGUCUUUCGUCACCUCCUUCAUGGCCUACCUCCUCCUCCCUCUGCAGUUUGGCACUAGUGUGACAACGUUCAGGUGGCUGGUCUGACCGUGUCCUACAAUA